Molecule: ribosomal RNA, 111 nt
Filed under: uncultured eukaryote
Lineage: Eukaryota
Description: partial small subunit ribosomal RNA
Rfam family: Eukaryotic small subunit ribosomal RNA
Source: RNAcentral
UCGCACCUACCGAUUGAAUGGUCCGGUGAGAACUCUGGACUCCGGCGUGAGCGCUUCAUUGUGCUCUCUGCCAGGGGAAGUUGUUCAAACCUUACCAUUUAGAGGAAGGUG